AUAAAAAGCCAAUGCCCUCCGGGGCUCUUUGGUGAUUCAUAGUAACUUAACGGAUCGCAUGGCCUUGCGCCGGCGACGGCUCAUUCAAAUUUCUGCCCUAUCAACUUUCGAUGGUAAGGUAUUGGCUUACCAUGGUUUCAACGGGUAACGGGGAUUAGGGUUCGAUUCCGGAGAGGGAGCCUGAGAAACGGCUACCACAUCCAAGGGAGGCAGCAGGCGCGCAAAUUACCUAAUCCCGACACGGGGAGGUAGUGACAAUAAAUACUGAUACAGGGCUCUUUUGGGUCUUGUAAUCGGAAUGAGUACAAUUUAAACCCCUUAACGAGGAACAAUUGGAGGGCAAGUCUGGUGCCAGCAGCCGCGGUAAUUCCAGCUCCAAUAGCGUAUAUUAAAGUUGUUGCAGUUAAAAAGCUCGUAGUUGAACCUUGGGCCUGGCUGGCCGGUCCGCCUCACCGCGAGUACUGGUCCGGCUGGGUCUUUCCUUCUGGGGAACCUCAUGGCCUUCACUGGCUGUGG
This 516-nucleotide ribosomal RNA is filed under the name uncultured fungus. Its description in RNAcentral is "SSU rRNA". It matches the Rfam family "Eukaryotic small subunit ribosomal RNA", at positions 214 to 731 of the family's 1831-position model. The record is from RNAcentral. Lineage: Eukaryota; Fungi.